GGGCGGGUUGUGUUGUUCUCUAACUACUCCUUUGCAGUAUGUAGCCCAAGUAACUCCUGAGGCCCUUACUGCGCAGCUCAGCUGCUUUUUAGUUAAAACCCAGAACCCCAGCAACAAACUGGAAAGAAAAAUGGAGGGCUUAGAAAAGGACCAUCCUUACUCGGAAUCUUCCCAGCAGCAUCCACCAGCCAGAGAGGAAUACACUGUGCCAGGGGCCAUCACGCACCGCCUGAGAGAUCGAGAGCUGCUGCGGAAAAGGAAAGCAGAGGCACAGGAGAAAGAUACUCUCCAAAAGCAAGGUACGAGCAAAGGGCCAAAGAGGGGCCGAGGAGCUGGGAGAAGAAGAGGCAGACAGCAGGGUACAGAGCCAGUGCCUCAGCCUGAAGUGCAAGAGGAGGCGGAGACGGAGCCCCCAGAGAAAGCACAGGCAUCUCCAGCGCACCAUGAGGAGGAGCCUGCCCUGUCUGUGGCUCAAGAGCCAUCUGGUGGGACUCAGCAGGAGGUGGUGGAGGGCCCCCAAGCUGAGGAUACUCUGCAUCCAGCAGAGCAUGGGGAAGAACCAAAGUCAGAAGAAGCAGGAUCAUCAGAGGCUUUGAAUAUCCCUCUGGAAAAUGACCAUACAGAUAAUGGAUACUACUCCUCUGUUUUAUUUUGAUCUUUUUUCCCUUCCCAUUGCUUUGGUCAAAGUCCAGCCCCUGUAGAAUGAUCUAGAUCUGCUAUUCCUGUGUGAGCAAUAAAAACUAAACACUUGCACCAUCGUCUCCCAUCACUGGUAUUUUGCCCACCUAGGAAUAAUGGGGAAAUUUGUUCAUUCCCCCUCCCCUUGCCCCUCAGCCAAAAAAAAAUAUACUCCCUCUAAAACUCAGCAGCUGUAUGCUCAGGACUAUACCACAGACCUUGGGCAUUCUCUUCCAGCCCCUUCCCUUCACCUGAUUCCCUCUGCUGCUCUUCCCCAGCAGUCCCUACUCCCACUGAAGUCCAGAAGUUUCCAGGGCAGAGCCAAUUUCUGGAUUGGGCCUUGCAACAUAGAAUUAGAUCGCAGGCAGCACUGAAGAGCCAGCUCUUUAUGCAGCUUUCCAGCUGGUGCUGAACAUGUAACUACAGCAUAGCUUCACAUGACUCUCCCAGAUAGACCCAGGGAGAGGGGUGUACUGGAGUUUAAUUGACUGUCCCAGCAGCUGUGUUAUUUCUCUCUAGCGGUGAUGAAUCUUAGGCCUUUCCAAAGUCUCUUCACUUUGAUCUGUGUUUUGUACUUUUCCUUUGUGGCCCCUCAUCUGCUCCCCGCAGCCCCUUCGCAGACCACGACUGAGGAAAGCUGACCUUUCACUUGUCAAACUCACUCAGACACUCCCUCUUUAGCUGCUUUGCAUAAACCAUGCACCUUGGACGUGGCUUCCUGUGUCAAAAGCACUGGGAGCACACAGGUAAGGCCAGGAAAAGGUUAAGGAAUGCACAAUGCUGUGUUUCUAGCCAACCAAAACUGGAACUGCCCUUUAAUCAGUGUCUGGAUCACAGGGAGGAUGUCGCUUACCCCCCCUGAGCAUUUGCUGGGCACAUAUCUCCACAUCCCAUGGCUAAAGACAGCCAUAGAUCCCAUGCUUACUGCUAUGCUGAAGAAGGCUAGCAAUUUCUUACUCCAUGCCUACGUGUUAUAAUGGGGAUAAAGGGUUGUCCAGGCAGGGUGGUCAGUGCCUUGCAGGAUUGAGCCCAGAAUGAACGCAAUGAAGUGGAUGCUGCAGAAUGUCCUAGCAGAAUGGGCCCCAUUCUCAGGGGUGCUGAGCUCCAUUGACUUAAACAAGAGUUGUAGGUUCUCAGCACCGCUGAAAUCAGGCAUUGUGGCCAAAAUCUUCAUAGCCAGGUUGAGGGCCUCCUCCAGCUCCCACUGAACUCGACGGAAAGUCUUCUCCUGAGCUCCAUGGAUACUGGCCUAAUUUUCAGAGAUGGGAGCCUCUGCAGCCACACUGAGUUGCUCGGGAACUGUGGGGUCUCAGCAUGUCUGGAACUGGGCUGGGUUUAUAGGGGCACCUACUUGUAGGCAUCCUGGGUUAAAAAUAUUGGCCUGUCAGUGCCUUAGUGAGACUGCAACUCCGUAGCCAAACAAUGUGUUCAGAAGGCCAAGGAGAUUUUGGCUAAAAUACAUGGUUUCUAAUCAGCUCUGGAUACUGUUACAAACUCAUUUGCACACAGAGUCUGGUGUGAGCAAGCAGGAGUGAGUGGCCAGUUAACAGUGCAUUACAAGGGCAGGCUUCAAUGUGCUGUGUGCCCUGGGCUAGCCCCACCAGUCUCUCCUUCCCCUCUCCUGAGUCUGUCUCUGUGUCAAGCUCAAUCCUCCCUUCUGGUCCCUGCCAACUCCAGGGCUCGGUGGAUGCCUAGGAUGCCUAGCUUUGCUUCUGACCAGAUGGACCCCUUAGCCCCUGCCACUCCAGUGUGCCAGCCCCUGGCUCCUCAUGGCAGGUGGAGCCAUGUAGGGUUGGUCCAAGAUCCCUCUACCCUGGCAGUACAAAGAGAUCUUAGUAGGCCCAGAGGAUCGACUCCAUAAACCCGUCAGCUUAGUGAUUAGCGCGGAUCAGGCCCUUGCAUUCAGCUUAGCAGAACUAUGACCUGUUUCCAUUGGGUGUGGAUCUUUUACUAAAUUAAUCAAAACAUUUGCUGUGCCAGGAGACCUAGUCAUGUAAAUGUGUUUCCUUCUAUUUCCUUCUCUGUCCUAUCGCACUGCCAGCAACUGCUUUACAAUCCCCUGGCUACUGAACUCCAAUGUGACAAUAUUGCCACAGGUGCUAGGGUGGAGUCGACAAGAAGUUUGAAAGCAGAAGCCAAGUGGCUGUUCCUGAUAAUUUCCAACUGAAAGCUCCCACUUUGCCAUUACAACCCUGAGUGCAGUAGAUGGCUAGCCACAGACUGCGGUCAGAAAGGAGCACACUUUCCCCUUGGCACACUGCCUUAUUCAUGGAGUCGUCUGAUGAGAUAAGCGAGGAUUGUAUCAGAGUUAUCUAUUAGAGUCAGAUGCAUCAGGUUUCUUUCCACCUAGCCUAGGACAAUAUUUUUGCCUUGACAUGUGUGCCCAAAUCUGAUGGGAGCUAGGCUGUGCAAUGCAGGACACCCAUCUCUUGCAUUCGCUAUAUCAGAGAUAUUUUUUCAUAAAACUCCAUUGAAAAUGCCAAGAAGCCAUUACCUAGCACAGCCCUGAUGUCAGACACCCCCUGAGAGCUUUCUGACGUCCCUGCAGGGUGCAGAGGAACGCACUUCUCUGCUAGAAUGAUUAAAAUGAGAGCGCUAUAGAAAGAGAGACGUCACUAAAAACAACAGCCCCAGUCCUACUGUGCCAUGUAGGUCCCACAGUGCCAAGUUAGUUGCCAGCGU
This is a non-coding RNA of Chelonoidis abingdonii (Abingdon island giant tortoise), 3360 nucleotides long. The record is from RefSeq and is a predicted model, not a curated record. NCBI's taxonomy places the organism in Eukaryota, Metazoa, Chordata, Testudines, Testudinidae.